RNAcentral lists this ribosomal RNA (254 nucleotides) under uncultured bacterium. RNAcentral's name for it is "partial 16S ribosomal RNA". It matches the Rfam family "Bacterial small subunit ribosomal RNA", at positions 524 to 776 of the family's 1533-position model. The record is from RNAcentral.
UACGGAGGGGGCUAGCGUUGUUCGGAAUUACUGGGCGUAAAGCGCGCGUAGGCGGCUUUGUAAGUUAGAGGUGAAAGCCCGGAGCUCAACUCCGGAACUGCCUUUAAGACUGCAUCGCUAGAAUCAUGGAGAGGUGAGUGGAAUUCCGAGUGUAGAGGUGAAAAUUCGUAGAUAUUCGGAAGAACACCAGUGGCGAAGGCGACUCACUGGACAUGUAUUGACGCUGAGGUGCGAAAGCGUGGGGAGCAAACAGG